GACGAACGCUGGCGGCGUGCUUAACACAUGCAAGUCGAGCGGUAAGGCCCUUUCGGGGGUACACGAGCGGCGAACGGGUGAGUAACACGUGGGUGACCUGCCCUCAGCUCUGGGAUAAGCCUGGGAAACCGGGUCUAAUACCGGAUAUGACUCCAUGACGCAUGUUGGUGGGGUGGAAAGCCUUGUGCGGCUGAGGAGUGGGCCCGCGGCCUAUCAGCUUGUUGGGUGGGGUGANGGCCUACCAAGGCGACGACGGGUAGCCGGCCUGAGAGGGCGACCGGCCACACUGGGACUGAGACACGGGCCCAGA
This 310-nucleotide ribosomal RNA is filed under the name uncultured bacterium. RNAcentral describes it as "bacterial SSU rRNA". It matches the Rfam family "Bacterial small subunit ribosomal RNA", at positions 28 to 335 of the family's 1533-position model. The record is from RNAcentral.